Molecule: long non-coding RNA, 150 nt
Organism: Saccostrea cuccullata (small rock oyster)
Lineage: Eukaryota; Metazoa; Mollusca; Bivalvia; Ostreida; Ostreidae
Exons: 3
Source: RefSeq, a predicted model, not a curated record
CACAGGAAACAGGUAAAUGAAGUGCUAAAAUGCUCUUAAGUUUAGUAAUUUUUGCAACUGCAGUAGGAGAGAUUGAUGGACUCUAUUGUUUGAGUUGUUCCGGAGUUGUCUCCCCUAGACACUGUCAUUCUAUACAAAAGUGUGGAGAAG